RNAcentral lists this non-coding RNA (28 nucleotides) under Bombyx mori (domestic silkworm). Lineage: Eukaryota; Metazoa; Arthropoda; Insecta; Lepidoptera; Bombycidae. The record is from RNAcentral.
UAGUAGAUCUAGAAAUUUAUGUGCUAAC